UUUAUGAACAUCCAAAUAAAGAUGCUCGUCAAUUUCUCUCUCAUUUUUGGCACAAAAUUUGAUGUUCGACAAAGCAAAUGCUCCAAUAAAGAUGAUAAGUAUAAAGAUAAUUCAAGUUGACACUUGAUAAGUACCAAUAUCACAGUUAAAUUGCAAAGUUUCCACUUGAACACUCCUAAGAUGUACAAUAUACAGAAUACAUGAGAAGUCCUACAAAGCCCUAUCAGCAUUCAUUCAAUCCACCCUUCACAUAACUGGUAACUGAACAUGUAAUGGAGCAGUGACAUUGGAAGAUGAACAACUCACCAGAAAUUUAUAAUCUUCAGCACAUCUUUAUCUUUAAGCCCAAACUCAGAAACUGUACACCUUAAAAAUCUUGAAAAGAUAAGCUUGUAUCAUCAAAGCUAUGUAAGAGGUACUGAAGGAAACUUCCAUUUAAUCAUCCCAAGCACUAUCUGCUGCACCCUCUCCUUUGAUACUUGAAGAGGCAAUCAUGAACCUAUACUUAUCCUCAAUGCUUAAUGAAGUGGGUCCAACCAUUUGAGACAGAGCAUUCCUCGCUUCCUUUUGCAAGGCUGCUGCUUCUCUCUCUUUCCUUCUAGCAACCUAAAAUGUAAUUAGCACUUGCACUUAGUUUUACAAUAAUACAAUAAGGAAGCAUAGGUCAUACUGAAACAUUUUAAAGGUACAACUUGUAAUCAUACUGCAACAUAAAGGCGACAAAGAGUAGUGAAUUUAAGACUAGAUAGCACAAGGGUUGCAGGAAGAGAAUAAAGAUAUAAAGGUCACACGCACAUGCACGCACGCACACGCACACACACUUCAUCAGAGUAUAUUACAGAGAAAAUCCAUACCUUCCCAGUUGCAAAAGCCACUAUGUUACCAGAUUCAGCAUCUGCAAUUGCUUUCUUUAUUUGUGCCACUAGGAACUUGGGCACAAGGGAACACCAGUCAGGAUUAGAACAAACAUAAAUAUAAAUAAAAAUAAGCAUUAGAAAUAAGUAGAAAGAAAAGGCGAGGGUACCAGAUCACGAUCAGUGUAAAAUGAAGUAGCUUGGCCAGCUGAUCCUGCACGGCCUGUCCUUCCAACUCUAUGUACAUAAUCUUCCAUUGUCUAUAAUCGAGGCAGCCAUAACUGAAGCUUCAGGUUGCUAUUCAGAAUGACAUUAAUAGUGACUGAAAUGACCAGGCUAUUGAGAUGCUAACAUAUCAGUAGCAGAAAGCAUGAUCACAUGCUGAGAUCUAGGUCAUUACUAAACCCAUCAAAUGGGUUCAGGGUAUUGUGAUUAUCUACACAACCAAAGAUUUAAACUGCAGGACACUUCAAUAUCAAGAAGAUCUCUACCAAAUACCAAUGACAUUGAGCAUUGAUAGAUUGGCAAUCCACAAACCCAACAGAAUUCCCAAGCUUUCCAACAGACGUAAAUGUAGGAAAGAAUUAUCCAUCCAACAUAUGUUAAAUUGAUUUCUGGUAAAUUCAGUGACUAACAAGUUUCUGCCAUAAAUACCUUAGGAAGAUCCAGAUUAAUCACAUGAGCAACUCCUGUGACAUCCAAUCCUCGAGAUGCAACAUCAGUGGCAACCAAAAUAUUAUUGGAGCCACUUCUAAAAUCUUGCAGAGCAGCUUCUCUUUCACUCUGACUACGGCCACCAUGAAGAGCAGCCGCCUGUAAGCCUUGUGCUACCAGAGCUUCAGCAACUUCAUCACACCUUGUCUGUUUUCAGAACCAUAUUCAGGUACCAAGACAUUAAUCAAGAAACUUAAAGAUCAAGGCAUAAAUAUAAAUUAUCUCAUAAGCAAGUUUGAUCAAAAAAACAUUUAAUCUAAAAAAAAAAAAAAGGAAAGCCCCAAAAUCUUAUGGCAGGCACUAAGUGAUUCUUAUGCAUGUGCAUAUUCAUUUGUAUCUUUCUCAACUCAGCACAUUCUUUUAUUCAAGGUUUCCAAACUCAGUCCAGCCUCCAGCGUUUGAACCUAUGAAGGCCUUCACGGAUCAAAGAUUGAACAGGUAAACAACCGGAAUUAAAUUAAACAAUAAAUAUUAAAAUUUAUAUAUAUAAUAAACAAUAUUCCAUUAAAAUUUAUAUAUAUAAUUAACAAUAUUCUGUUAAAAAUCAUAUGGGAAUAAAAUAUAUUCACAUUAUUAUAUUUUACUAAAUUUAAGUAAAUUAUUAACUACUUAAAUUGAAGUUCACUAUAACAAACAUAUUUAAGACAAACAAUUUAAAAUAAGUUUUCCCUCAAUCAGCAAAUUAUUUGAUGAAAUUAUAUUACAAUAAAUUCUUCAUCAACAAUUAAGUGAUGUAAUGCUAGUAAAAGCAAGAAAUUAUUUGACGAAUACUAUAGCACUCAGCGCACCUUCCUUUCCACAAACACAACAGUUAAAGGAAAGGGAUGACCAGAUCUUUCAGCCUGAGAUGCAUCCUCCACAAGCAAAGCUAGAAGGCAAUCAAUCUACACCACAUUAAAUGCUGUCACAACUCCACCAUCAACUCCAAUAACAAUGCAUAACGCACAUUUUGGAAGCAUGUAAGAAAUUUUAAAAAGUUAGUGAGAAUGAAAUGAUUUGAUUUCAAUCAAUGAUCAGAUGUUCAGAAUGGAACAUUUACAUCAAAAUUCACAAGGAAAAAAAAAAAAAGAAAUAGUAUACAAAUCUAUAUUUGACUCCCAUGCAAUUUAUUUACCCCCUUCAAACAACAUAUAAUACCAUAAUGUUCCUCUUCCUCUAGCUGUUUUGUAAGCAACACUAUCUUCUAACUUAGGCAUCUACAUGGCAUUGUCUUUUUUCUCUGGAAACCAGAAUAACAUCAAUUUAAAGCAUAGUAAUAAUGAGUGAAAGUAGAGAAGAAGUUGAUCAUGCAAAUAAAAAAAUUUGGAAAGUACUAAUAAGUCCAACUUACCACCCUUAAUAUACCUAGAAAGAUGACCUUAUGCUAUAAAUAGUAAUACAACAAAUAAAUUAAGAACUUUUCACUAUCACAUGCAGAAUAAAAUACAUUGAAUCAGAAUACAAUGAGAAACUUACCUUCUCACUUUCAGAAACUUUUUUCAAAACUUGAGAUACAUUUGCAGUUGGGCUGCUCACUUUUCCAACCUUAAUUUGCACAGGGGUAGUUAGGUACUCCUGGGUUAGUAUCUCAAUCUCCACAGGCAUAGUUGCACUAAAUAGCAGAGUUUGAUGCCUUUUUGGAAGAUUGUGCAAUACCUCUCUAAUCUGUGGUUCAAACCCCAUAUCAAGCAUUCUAUCAGCUUCAUCCAGAACAAUAAACGAAAUUCUAGAGAGGGAAGUGUUUCCUUGCUGUAAAUGAUCAAUGAAUCUUCCUGGAGUAGCAACAAUUACAUCCACUCCAGCUCUUAGUUCAGACCUCUGGUCAGCAAUGUUAGUUCCACCAACAACUAUUGCAGUUCUAAAGCAUUCGAGAGAUCUGCUAAAACAUUUGACCUCCUUUUCAAUCUGUUGGGCUAGCUCUCUGGUAGGAGCCAACACCAAUGCCAGCGGUCCAUCGCCACGCCAAAUGGGAGACUGAGCCAAGCAGUGCUGUAUCAUCGGAAUGGCGAAUGCAGCAGUUUUGCCACUACCAGUUUGAGCACAACCUAACAAAUCUCUUCCACUAAGAGCAACUGUCAUGGCCUGAGCCUGAAUAGAAGUCGGCCUAGUAUAUCCAUGAUAUGUAAUAUCCUUCAUGAUGCUCGGGUGCAAAAGCAUAUCUUCAAACGAUUCAAUGGGUGCAGGUGCGGGAGGAGAAUCCGAAGCAACAGUGACUUCGACAUUAAGCCGCAAACGAACAUCUUCAAUCUGCUGCGAAUUCAAGCGAAGAACGCGCUCGGAGGGGCUCCAUUGAGGAAAAACGACUUCGGGAACAGCCAAGGUUCUCGGCGACGUGACAGCAACGGAAGUCCGGCGAGAGCCAUUGGACAAAGUAGGAAGAGAGUUCCAAGUGGAAGUAGCAGAGGAGAUUUUAGUGUGCAAAUUUGAAGAAGCGGAAUGCGAGAGCUUACUGAUGUGAUCACUGACGCUGUCUAGGGUUAGUGAAGAAGUGGUGGUGGUGGUAGAGUUCCUCAGGUGUGGCGGUAUAUACGACAUUGUUUAAGAUUGGCUUUAACAGUUUUUAGUUACGCUUGCACAAAUACAGUGGAGUGAAAAUGCGAUGGAGCGGAGCUGAUGAAAGAGGAAAAAACAGAUGUGAAGCGGAUGAUGAGCUAAGCGAGUGAAAUGAAAUGAUAUUCUUUUGACAAAUGAU
RNAcentral lists this unclassified non-coding RNA (4239 nucleotides) under Hevea brasiliensis (rubber tree). The record is from RNAcentral. Lineage: Eukaryota; Viridiplantae; Streptophyta; Magnoliopsida; Malpighiales; Euphorbiaceae.